Molecule: ribosomal RNA, 492 nt
Filed under: uncultured bacterium
Lineage: Bacteria
Description: partial 16S ribosomal RNA
Rfam family: Bacterial small subunit ribosomal RNA
Source: RNAcentral
AGUGAACGCUGGCGGUAGGCCUAACACAUGCCAGUCGAACGGCAGCACAGUAAGAGCUUGCUCUUACGGGUGGCGAGUGGCGGACGGGUGAGGAAUAAAUCGGAAUCUACUUUUUCGUGGGGGAUAACGUAGGGAAACUUACGCUAAUACCGCAUACGACCUACGGGUGAAAGCAGGGGAUCUUCGGACCUUGCGCGAUUGAAUGAGCCGAUGUCGGAUUAGCUAGUUGGCGGGGUAAAGGCCCACCAAGGCGACGAUCCGUAGCUGGUCUGAGAGGAUGAUCAGCCACACUGGAACUGAGACACGGUCCAGACUCCUACGGGAGGCAGCAGUGUGGAAUAUUGGACAAUGGGCGCAAGCCUGAUCCAGCCAUACUGCGUGGGUGAAGAAGGCCUUCGGGUUGUAAAGCCCUUUUGUUGGGAAAGAAAAGCAGCAGGUUAAUACCCCGCUGUUCUGACGGUACCCAAAGAAUAAGCACCGGCUAACUUCGUG